UACGUAGGGCGCAAGCGUUGUCCGGAAUUAUUGGGCGUAAAGAGCUCGUAGGCGGUCUGUCGCGUCUGGUGUGAAAUCCCGAGGCUCAACCUCGGGCGUGCAUCGGGUACGGGCAGACUAGAGUGCGGUAGGGGAGACUGGAAUUCCUGGUGUAGCGGUGGAAUGCGCAGAUAUCAGGAGGAACACCGAUGGCGAAGGCAGGUCUCUGGGCCGCAACUGACGCUGAGGAGCGAAAGCAUGGGGAGCGAACAGG
This 253-nucleotide ribosomal RNA is filed under the name uncultured bacterium. Its description in RNAcentral is "partial 16S ribosomal RNA". It matches the Rfam family "Bacterial small subunit ribosomal RNA", at positions 524 to 776 of the family's 1533-position model. The record is from RNAcentral.